RNAcentral lists this long non-coding RNA (350 nucleotides) under Brassica napus (rape). RNAcentral describes it as "long non-coding RNA (BNAP_LNC003197)". The record is from RNAcentral. Lineage: Eukaryota; Viridiplantae; Streptophyta; Magnoliopsida; Brassicales; Brassicaceae.
UUGUAUAUUUUAACAUUAAUGACUGUUCAUAUAUAAAAUCACAUUUUUUUGCAGGAUUGCAUAGAGUUAAUAUAACUUGACUUUCUUAAGCAAAAAAUAUAUCCUACGAACGAGGGAAGGAAAUCUAUAUAUAUGUUCAUUUACUAUUAAAAGUAAAUUGGGUUGAUGUAAUUAAAUAAAUCUCGGCAAAUAUUCGAAAAACGAAACUUUCUUAAAGUAUUGUACACGGUAACUUCUUUGGUUUUUCCCCAAGGCUAAUUAAUAGUGAUCACAAAAGAAUAUUCCAAUACCUAUUCUUUUGUACAACUUCUAAACUAUAUAAAGGGCCCUAAUGCCAUCGACAAUAUAAC